This is a small nuclear RNA of Neogale vison (American mink), 107 nucleotides long. The record is from Ensembl. Lineage: Eukaryota; Metazoa; Chordata; Mammalia; Carnivora; Mustelidae.
GUGCUCACUUUGGCAGCACAUAUACUAAAAUUGGAACGAUACAGAGAAAAUUAGCUUGGCCCCUAUGCAUGGGUGACAUGCAAAUUCAUGAAGUAUUCCAUAUUUUA